CAAGGAAUCUUCCGCAAUGGGGGCAACCCUGACGGAGCAACGCCGCGUGGGUGACGACACCCUUCGGGGCGUAAACCCCUUUUCUGCCGGAAGAAGGCCUCGGCUUGACGGUACGGCAGGAAGAAGGACCGGCUAACCACGUGCCAGCAGCCGCGGUAAUACGUGGGGUCCGAGCGUUGUCCGGAGUUACUGGGCGUAAAGGGCGCGCAGGCGGCGGCGUGGGUCCGGCGUGAAAGCCCCCGGCUCAACCGGGGAGGGUCGUCGGGGACCGCGCCGCUUGAGGGCGGCAGGGGCCGGUGGAAUGCCUGGUGUAGUGGUGAAAUGCGUAGAGAUCAGGCGGAACACCCGUGGCGAAGGCGGCCGGCUGGGCCGUCCCUGACGCUGAGGCGCGAAGGCGUGGGGAGCGAACGGG
This 412-nucleotide ribosomal RNA is filed under the name Bacillota bacterium. RNAcentral's name for it is "Firmicutes bacterium partial 16S ribosomal RNA". It matches the Rfam family "Bacterial small subunit ribosomal RNA", at positions 355 to 776 of the family's 1533-position model. Lineage: Bacteria; Bacillati; Bacillota. The record is from RNAcentral.